GUCCGGGUGGCGGAAUUGGUAGACGCGCUAGCUUGAGGUGCUAGUGCCCCUUACGGGGCUUGGGGGUUCAAGUCCCCCCUCGGACACCA
This 89-nucleotide transfer RNA is filed under the name Microlunatus elymi. Its description in RNAcentral is "Microlunatus sp. KUDC0627 tRNA-Leu". It matches the Rfam family "tRNA". From Rfam's summary of the family: Transfer RNA (tRNA) molecules are approximately 80 nucleotides in length. Their secondary structure includes four short double-helical elements and three loops (D, anti-codon, and T loops). The record is from RNAcentral. Lineage: Bacteria; Bacillati; Actinomycetota; Actinomycetes; Propionibacteriales; Propionibacteriaceae.